RNAcentral lists this transfer RNA (73 nucleotides) under Neotoma lepida (desert woodrat). It matches the Rfam family "tRNA". From Rfam's summary of the family: Transfer RNA (tRNA) molecules are approximately 80 nucleotides in length. Their secondary structure includes four short double-helical elements and three loops (D, anti-codon, and T loops). Lineage: Eukaryota; Metazoa; Chordata; Mammalia; Rodentia; Cricetidae. The record is from Rfam by way of RNAcentral.
GGAGAGGUAGCUCAGUGGUUAGGAGCACUGGCUGCUCUUUCAGAGGACCUGGGUUUGAUUCUCAGCACCUCCG